RNAcentral lists this ribosomal RNA (1241 nucleotides) under metagenome. RNAcentral describes it as "bacterial LSU rRNA". It matches the Rfam family "Bacterial large subunit ribosomal RNA", at positions 1564 to 2815 of the family's 2925-position model. The record is from RNAcentral.
UGAAUACGAGACGCUAAGGCGUCGAAGUAGUGUAUGUCAUACUUCCAAGAAAAGCUUGCACUGUCAUAGAUAAAAAACGCCUGUACCAUAACCGACACAGGUGGGUAGGUAGAGUAUACUAAGGGGCGCGAGAUAACUCUCUCUAAGGAACUCGGCAAAAUAACUCCGUAACUUCGGGAGAAGGAGUGCCUUAUUUUUAAGGCUGCAAUAACAAGAUCCAAGCAACUGUUUAUCAAAAACACAGGUCUCCGCUAAGUCGUAAGACGAUAUAUGGGGGCUGACGCCUGCCCAGUGCCAGAAGGUUAAAGAAGUUGGUUAGCUUUUGCGAAGCUGAUAACUGAAGCCCUGGUGAACGGCGGCCGUAACGAUAACGGUCCUAAGGUAGCGAAAUUCCUUGUCGGGUAAGUUCCGACCCGCACGAAAGGCGUAAUGAUUUGGAUACUGUCUCGGAGAGGGGCUCGGUGAAAUAGACUUGUCUGUGAAGAUGCAGACUACCUGCACCAGGACAGAAAGACCCUAUGAAGCUUUACUGUAACUUGAAAUUGAAAUUGGACUUUAUUCGCGCAGCAUAGGUGGGAGGCGUUGAUUAUAAUCUCGUGGGAUUAUUGGAGCCAUCAGUGAGAUACCACUCUUGUAAUGUUAGAUUUCUAACUUUGAAUCAUUAUCUGGUCAAAGAACAGUUUCAGGCGGGCAGUUUGACUGGGGCGGUCGCCUCCUAAACGGUAACGGAGGCGUACAAAGGUUUCCUCUGAACGGUUAGAAAUCGUAUCUAGAGUGUAAAGGCAUAAGGAAGCUUGACUGUGAGACCUACAAGUCGAGCAGGGACGAAAGUCGGUCUUAGUGAUCUGACGGUACUGAGUGGAAAGGCCGUCACUCAACGGAUAAAGUUACUCUAGGGAUAACAGGCUGAUCUCCCCCAAGAGUUCACAUCGACGGGGAGGUUUGGCACCUCGAUGUCGGCUCAUCGCAUCCUGGGGCGGUAGUACGUCCCAAGGGUUGGGCUGUUCGCCCAUGAAAGCGGUACGCGAGCUGGGUUCAGAACGUCGUGAGACAGUUCGGUCCAUAUCCGGUGUAGGCGUUAGAAUAUUGAGAGGAGCCUUCUUUAGUACGAGAGGACCGAGAAGGACAUACCUCUGGUGUACCAGUUAUCGUGCCAACGGUAAACGCUGGGUAGCUAUGUAUGGAGUGGAUAACCGCUGAAAGCAUCUAAGUGGGAAGCCCACCUCAAGAUAAGUAUUCUC